Molecule: long non-coding RNA, 995 nt
Organism: Lotus japonicus
Lineage: Eukaryota; Viridiplantae; Streptophyta; Magnoliopsida; Fabales; Fabaceae
Exons: 2
Source: RefSeq, a predicted model, not a curated record
AUAUUAUAUAACUUGAGUUCUUUUCAAUCUUUAAUUUUUUUUCCUAAGCGCUACGUGCCAGAGAACCAAGUUCUCAACUUUUCUUAAGCAUGACACUUACAAGUCAAGUGCUGAGUCAUUGGCCAUUCUCUUGACAACACAACAUCUCCACCAUCCUUUCUCUUACACGUAUGAAAUCAUCAAGCAGCUCACAAACUCUCUCCCUUGAAUGACUUUGACAUGAAGAAAGGCAAAUGAUCAUCAGAUUACUACAUGCUUCACUAUUUUAUUCCUUCUAUUACAUUCUCUACUGCUUCUUCCACCACGUUAUGCCUCUGCAUGAUUCACACCUCAUGUCCAUUGCAUGUUUCUCCUUUACACCUCAUGCUUAUUGCCACCUUUGAUUUGUUUCAUUCUUAAAUAUCUGAUUCGUGGAGGCUAUAUAAACGGAAGCAAUGGCAAUGCAAGAUAUUAACAUAGACACUCAAGAGAGGAUUCUGAGCAAUACACACACAGCAUUUUGUUCUUAUACAUUACUGAAAAAAUAACACUAAUUGUGAGUGAGUUAGUUUUUGCGGAGAUUCUUGAGUUUUGAAGCGGAAGCUAGGUUAAAGCUUAGCAUUUUUUAAAGCAAUUAAUUUUCUAAGGAUACGAAGUGCGAUAGUGCGUUCGUGUCGGAGCUAAAGAAUGGAAGGAAAGCUAGCCGGUACGAGGAGCGAUGACGUGAUUGGAUCGAAGUCGCAACUUAGGAAAGAAAGUGGCAAAGGCGAUGAAGAGCCUUCUGGCGAUGCUUAGCCAUGGUGAGAUGGAGGAGAGAUAGUAACCGGCGGAGCAAGGAUGGAAGAAGGUGUAUAGUUUUCCUCUUAGUAGUUUAUGCUUGAGUCUUCUUUGUUAUCUGAAAACUCUGUUACUAAAACCCUGUUUUCGCCACUGUUUAAGUGUGCGUACUUAUUUUUGGAAACUUGCUUAUGCUAUUGUAAGACACUAUUAUUAUAUGUCGGGAACGGAUUGUUUAA